Molecule: long non-coding RNA, 367 nt
Organism: Exaiptasia diaphana
Lineage: Eukaryota; Metazoa; Cnidaria; Anthozoa; Actiniaria; Aiptasiidae
Exons: 2
Source: RefSeq, a predicted model, not a curated record
UGUUUUGGCAACUAUUCAUUUUGGACUAGUAUCCGAGCGAUAUACUAAACGCCAAACUCCUUUCGUAUUCGUUAUCUACGAACUGUACGGAUCAAGAUGAAAGUGUCAAUCGCCGUUAUCCUAUUGGCUGCCUUUAUAGUGGUGACGUCACUGGAGCCCGCAUAUUCAGAUCCAGCGGUUCAACGCAGAAGCUACUGCCAAGGAUGCUAUGACUAUUAUGAUCGCUGUAUGGGUGAAUGCAGUGGAAUGGGAUGUAUGCGCUGUCAACGAGUCAAAAAAUCUUGUGAUUAUCAUUGCUCAGGAUAAACCUCCGGGAUAAACGAAAAUUGUAUCAUAAUUUGAUGAAUAAACGCCUUCUUUAAUCGCG